RNAcentral lists this ribosomal RNA (498 nucleotides) under uncultured bacterium. Its description in RNAcentral is "partial 16S ribosomal RNA". It matches the Rfam family "Bacterial small subunit ribosomal RNA", at positions 899 to 1397 of the family's 1533-position model. The record is from RNAcentral.
ACUCAAAUGAAUUGACGGGGGCCCGCACAAGCAGUGGAGCAUGUGGUUUAAUUCGAAGCAACGCGAAGAACCUUACCAGCCCUUGACAUGGCAGGACGGUUUCCAGAGAUGGAUUCCUUCACUUCGGUGACCUGCACACAGGUGCUGCAUGGCUGUCGUCAGCUCGUGUCGUGAGAUGUUGGGUUAAGUCCCGCAACGAGCGCAACCCUCGCCUUUAGUUGCCAUCAUUUAGUUGGGCACUCUAGAGGGACUGCCGGUGAUAAGCCGGAGGAAGGUGGGGAUGACGUCAAGUCUUCAUGGCCCUUACGGGCUGGGCUACACACGUGCUACAAUGGCGGUGACAGAGGGCAGCUAGUCCGCGAGGACAUGCUAAUCCCUAAAAGCCGUCUCAGUUCGGAUUGCACUCUGCAACUCGAGUGCAUGAAGUUGGAAUUGCUAGUAAUCGCAGAUCAGCACGCUGCGGUGAAUACGUUCCCGGGCCUUGUACACACCGCCCGU